AGCGGGUUCUAAAGAUAAAAAAAUCCCCGAAAGAAAAAGAAAUUGGAUGAGCAAAAUAGUAAGGUUCCAAAAGAACCUGAUAUUGAAAGAUGUCUGAAAGAAGACAUAAGUGGAAAGGUUCCAGAAGAACCUGAUAUUGAAAGAUGUCUGAAAGAAGGCAUAAGUGGAAAGGUUCCAGAAGAACCUGAUACUGAAAAUGUCUGAAAGAAGGCAUAGAUGAAAAGGUUCAAGAAGAACCAAAUAAAGAUAUUGAUCCAGAUGACGAGAAGGAAACAGAAAAGUAUGAGAUUUCCAUCAACUACGCCCU
This 307-nucleotide long non-coding RNA is filed under the name Brassica napus (rape). RNAcentral's name for it is "long non-coding RNA (BNAP_LNC014716)". The record is from RNAcentral. Lineage: Eukaryota; Viridiplantae; Streptophyta; Magnoliopsida; Brassicales; Brassicaceae.